RNAcentral lists this ribosomal RNA (498 nucleotides) under Rhizobium metallidurans. Its description in RNAcentral is "bacterial SSU rRNA". It matches the Rfam family "Bacterial small subunit ribosomal RNA", at positions 94 to 627 of the family's 1533-position model. The record is from RNAcentral. Lineage: Bacteria; Pseudomonadati; Pseudomonadota; Alphaproteobacteria; Hyphomicrobiales; Rhizobiaceae.
AGCGGCAGACGGGUGAGUAACACGUGGGAACGUACCCUUUUCUACGGAAUAACCCAGGGAAACUUGGACUAAUACCGUAUGUGCCCUUCGGGGGAAAGAUUUAUCGGAAAAGGAUCGGCCCGCGUUGGAUUAGCUAGUUGGUGGGGUAAAGGCCUACCAAGGCGACGAUCCAUAGCUGGUCUGAGAGGAUGAUCAGCCACAUUGGGACUGAGACACGGCCCAAACUCCUACGGGAGGCAGCAGUGGGGAAUAUUGGACAAUGGGCGCAAGCCUGAUCCAGCCAUGCCGCGUGAGUGAUGAAGGCCUUAGGGUUGUAAAGCUCUUUCACCGGAGAAGAUAAUGACGGUAUCCGGAGAAGAAGCCCCGGCUAACUUCGUGCCAGCAGCCGCGGUAAUACGAAGGGGGCUAGCGUUGUUCGGAUUUACUGGGCGUAAAGCGCACGUAGGCGGAUCGAUCAGUCAGGGGUGAAAUCCCAGAGCUCAACUCUGGAACUGCCUU